CAAGGUUGACCUCGGAUCAGGUAGGGAUACCCGCUGAACUUAAGC
Molecule: ribosomal RNA, 45 nt
Filed under: Lasiodiplodia theobromae
Lineage: Eukaryota; Fungi; Ascomycota; Dothideomycetes; Botryosphaeriales; Botryosphaeriaceae
Description: partial 28S ribosomal RNA
Source: RNAcentral